GAGAUAGAUGUCCAUGGCCAGCUCACUGGUCUUGUUAAGAAGGCUCGUCAUAAAGAUGGAGAUGAUAAG
Nannospalax galili (Upper Galilee mountains blind mole rat) is the source of this 69-nucleotide unclassified non-coding RNA. Ensembl annotates it as predicted gene, 27337. The record is from Ensembl. Lineage: Eukaryota; Metazoa; Chordata; Mammalia; Rodentia; Spalacidae.